This 520-nucleotide ribosomal RNA is filed under the name uncultured Pacispora. RNAcentral describes it as "SSU rRNA". It matches the Rfam family "Eukaryotic small subunit ribosomal RNA", at positions 569 to 1090 of the family's 1831-position model. The record is from RNAcentral. Lineage: Eukaryota; Fungi; Glomeromycota; Glomeromycetes; Diversisporales; Pacisporaceae.
AGCAGCCGCGGUAAUUCCAGCUCCAAUAGCGUAUAUUAAAGUUGUUGCAGUUAAAAAGCUCGUAGUUGAAUUUCGGAAUUUUUUUAUCGGUUGAAUCAACAGGUUCGUACUGAUUUUAAGAAUUUCUACCUUCUGGAGAACCUUAAUGUCAUUUAUUUGGUGUUUUGGGAAACCAGGACUGCUACCUUGAAAAAUUAGAGUGUUUAAAGCAGGCUUAUGUCUGAAUAUAUUAGCAUGGAAUAAUGAAAUAGGACGGCAUGGUUCUAUUUUGUUGGUUUCUAGGAUCACCGUAAUGAUUAAUAGGGAUAGUUGGGGGCAUUAGUAUUCAAUUGUCAGAGGUGAAAUUCUUGGAUUUAUUGAAGACUAACUUCUGCGAAAGCAUUUGCCAAGGAUGUUUCCAUUAAUCAAGAACGAAAGUUAGGGGAUCGAAGACGAUCAGAUACCGUCGUAGUCUUAACCAUAAACUAUGCCGACUAGGAAUCGGACGAAGUUAAUUUUUAAUGACUCGUUCGGCGCCUUA